RNAcentral lists this ribosomal RNA (292 nucleotides) under uncultured bacterium. RNAcentral's name for it is "partial 16S ribosomal RNA". It matches the Rfam family "Bacterial small subunit ribosomal RNA", at positions 505 to 796 of the family's 1533-position model. The record is from RNAcentral.
GUGUCAGCAGCCGCGGUAAUACGUAGGGAGCAAGCGUUGUCCGGAAUCAUUGGGCGUAAAGCGCGCGUAGGCGGCCCCGUAAGUCCGCUGUGAAAGUCAAAGGCUCAACCUUUGAAAGCCGGUGGAUACUGUGGGGCUAGAGUACGGAAGAGGCGAGUGGAAUUCCUGGUGUAGCGGUGGAAUGCGCAGAUAUCAGGAGGAACACCAAUAGCGAAGGCAGCUCGCUGGGACGUUACUGACGCUGAGGCGCGAAAGCGUGGGGAGCGAACAGGAUUAGAAACCCCCGUAGUCC